UUCAUUAUUCCACGUGAAGAUUUAAAUGAAUUAGCCGAUUUGGCUUAAAAUAUAGUACUUUUUGCAUUUAACGGUUAAAAGUUUAUUUUCACAUUUGCCGACACGUGGAUUUUCUCUGCGUGACUAUAACCCACGCAGUCAGUACUUUCACAACUCUGCUAAAUAAAAUUAUCAGUAAGACUUAAACAUCUGCAAAUGUUUGCGAUUAAAUUAUUACAAUUUUAGGGCGUUUUUUUGGUUAUAAUAAAUCAACAAUCCGGCUUCCACAAUAAAUAGAAAUUCUAAAAAAAAUCGUAUCUCACAGCUGCUAAAACUGUGAAACUGUCUAAAGUAAUUGCUUCACAUUAUGCAUCUUAUCUUUGCGAAAUCAAAAUGAGAACAAAAGCGCCUAAGUGAUUUCUCCGCGAAGAGAACAUCUACUGCGAGACAACAAUAAAAUUAUUAAAAAUAUUGAUAACUUUAUCAGGCCAAAAAUUUCCGUUAAAACAUUUUAUUACCGAUAAAAAACAAAAAGAAACAAAUAGAUUAAGUGCUUUAAAAACUAGCAAAAUACUCAAAGAAAAUAACAUAAUAAACGUGCUCAUCAUUAGUGGCUUUGCUAACUUUCUAAAAAAAAUAAACUUAAAUUCAAAGACGAGGAAAUUUAAUUUGAUUCACUCAUCAUUCAGCAAAUAAAUUAUGGCAAUGCCAUCAGUAUUCAUCAUCAAACCUAGUUUACGAAUGAGAAUAUUUAAUUGAAGUCUGAUUCAUCACUUAUUGUUCAUUAAGGAAUGCAGAUUCAUUGUUUAAAGCUGAAGAAAUUGACUAAUGAAUGAGUGGUUUUUACGAUAAACACGUGAAAAACGUGGCUGAUGGUUUGCCACACUUACUUGUUUCAUAUCAAUAAAAUAACUGCAUACUAAAUAAGAAUAUCUCGUUUUUAGCAAUUAUUUUAGUUGUGUGUUUUUUCCUUUCAAAUAAUCUUCGUACAGUAAUAAUUGCUCACGAUUCGUGGUGAAUGGUAACCAGCUAAUUAUUAGCAUAGAUCCAAACAUGAGUAAUUAGGUUUAUGAUUAGUUCAGUCUUAACACAUUUAAACAGUUGCAAUUAAAAAAAUUAAGCCACAAGCUGCAAAAAUCGAAAAAUCUUCGCAGCAACUUUCCAGAACUUUCUUGUGCUAGAUCGCAGACGUAGGUGUGCAAAACCUUUACUUGGUGCUAAUGAUAAUGGCCAGUAAUGUCAAUAAAAUUAUUUCUUGCAACACUGCGGAAAAAAACAUUUUUCAAUCCUUGUGUAAAAAUGCGCACGGACUGACUUAUGCACGCGGCACCACAUUUCCGAUGGUCCAUACAUUACAAGCAUCUGUGUGGUGCCGUGGGCUUACAAACUCGUAUAAAAAUCGAGUCAGGCAACACAUUAUCCAUUCAUUUACUUCCUUGUGAUAAGUAGGUGUACGUUAUUUAUCUAACCCACACUAUGGCGAGCACUGCAUGCUGCAAAAUUGGUUCUGACGGUACUCACACCGUCAUCAAGCAGUGCAUUUUGAAGACCGACGAAGGGGAAUUCGACUGCGAAUGCAUAUGCAAGUGUGAGUGCACCGGCGAUUGCAAAAAUUGCACCUGUGACUGCAAAUGCACUCCAGAGACUGCCCAGAAGAUCCAAACGGCAGAUGGUGUCAAAUACCGAUGCGAGUGUAAAUGCAAAUGUUGAAUUUUGUCAAUAAACGGGUGAAAUUUU
Molecule: long non-coding RNA, 1716 nt
Organism: Tribolium castaneum (red flour beetle)
Lineage: Eukaryota; Metazoa; Arthropoda; Insecta; Coleoptera; Tenebrionidae
Exons: 2
Source: RefSeq, a predicted model, not a curated record